UACAGAGGUCUCGAGCGUUGUUCGGAUUCAUUGGGCGUAAAGGGUGCGUAGGCUGCGGGGCAAGUCUGAUGUGAAAUCCCGGGGCUCAACCCCGGAACUGCAUUGGAUACUGCCUUGCUAGAGUACUGGAGAGGAGACUGGAAUUUACGGUGUAGCAGUGAAAUGCGUAGAGAUCGUAAGGAAGACCAGUGGCGAAGGCGAGUCUCUGGACAGUUCCUGACACUGAGACACGAAGGCCAGGGGAGCAAACGGG
Molecule: ribosomal RNA, 253 nt
Filed under: uncultured bacterium
Lineage: Bacteria
Description: partial 16S ribosomal RNA
Rfam family: Bacterial small subunit ribosomal RNA
Source: RNAcentral